GGGGAUAAUCGGGAGAAAUCCCGUCUAAUACCGCGUAAUGCCGCGGGGCUGCAUGGCCCUGCGGCCAAAGGGAGCGAUUCCGGCAACGGAUGGGCAUGCGUGACAUUAGCUAGUUGGCGGGGCAACGGCCCACCAAGGCGACGAUGUCUAGGGGUUCUGAGAGGAAGGUCCCCCACACUGGUACUGAGACACGGACCAGACUCCUACGGGAGGCAGCAGUGAGGAAUAUUGGUCAAUGGGCGCGAGCCUGAACCAGCCAAGUCGCGCGAGGGAUGACGGCCCUACGGGUUGUAAACCUCUUUUGUCGGGGAGCAAAUUCCGCCACGUGUGGCGGAGUCGAGAGUACCCGAAGAAAAAGCAUCGGCUAACUCCGUGCCAGCAGCCGCGGUAAUACGGAGGAUGCGAGCGUUAUCCGGAUUUAUUGGGUUUAAAGGGUGCGUAGGCGGACUGUCAAGUCAGCGGUAAAAUACGGGGGCUCAACCUCCGCCCGCCGUUGAAACUGACGGUCUUGAGUGGGCGAGAAGUAUGCGGAAUGCGUGGUGUAGCGGUGAAAUGCAUAAAUAUCACGCAGAACUCCGAUUGCGAAGGCAGCAUACCGGCGCCCGACUGACGCUGAAGCACGAAAGCGUGGGUAUCGAACAGGAUUAGAUACCCUGGUAGUCCACGCAGUAAACG
This 675-nucleotide ribosomal RNA is filed under the name uncultured bacterium. RNAcentral describes it as "bacterial SSU rRNA". It matches the Rfam family "Bacterial small subunit ribosomal RNA", at positions 139 to 808 of the family's 1533-position model. The record is from RNAcentral.